RNAcentral lists this ribosomal RNA (502 nucleotides) under uncultured Klebsiella sp. Its description in RNAcentral is "bacterial SSU rRNA". It matches the Rfam family "Bacterial small subunit ribosomal RNA", at positions 62 to 555 of the family's 1533-position model. Lineage: Bacteria; Pseudomonadati; Pseudomonadota; Gammaproteobacteria; Enterobacterales; Enterobacteriaceae. The record is from RNAcentral.
UCGAGCGGUAGCACAGAGAGCUUGCUCUCGGGUGACGAGCGGCGGACGGGUGAGUAAUGUCUGGGAAACUGCCUGAUGGAGGGGGAUAACUACUGGAAACGGUAGCUAAUACCGCAUAAUGUCGCAAGACCAAAGUGGGGGACCUUCGGGCCUCAUGCCAUCAGAUGUGCCCAGAUGGGAUUAGCUAGUAGGUGAGGUAACGGCUCACCUAGGCGACGAUCCCUAGCUGGUCUGAGAGGAUGACCAGCCACACUGGAACUGAGACACGGUCCAGACUCCUACGGGAGGCAGCAGUGGGGAAUAUUGCACAAUGGGCGCAAGCCUGAUGCAGCCAUGCCGCGUGUGUGAAGAAGGCCUUCGGGUUGUAAAGCACUUUCAGCGGGGAGGAAGGCGUUAAGGUUAAUAACCUUGGCGAUUGACGUUACCCGCAGAAGAAGCACCGGCUAACUCCGUGCCAGCAGCCGCGGUAAUACGGAGGGUGCAAGCGUUAAUCGGAAUUACU